Molecule: long non-coding RNA, 142 nt
Organism: Vespa mandarinia (Asian giant hornet)
Lineage: Eukaryota; Metazoa; Arthropoda; Insecta; Hymenoptera; Vespidae
Source: RefSeq, a predicted model, not a curated record
UAGGAUUCGUAAGGAGACAGUAACACGAUGAUCAAAUAAAUUACAGAUCCGUUAUUAAAUCGAAGAGCAUAAUCGUGUAGGGACAGAUGAUAUCAGAGAGAACAAAAAAGAAAAGAAAAAAUGGCAAAGAAAAAAUAAAAAG